Molecule: ribosomal RNA, 650 nt
Filed under: Halobacillus trueperi
Lineage: Bacteria; Bacillati; Bacillota; Bacilli; Caryophanales; Bacillaceae
Description: bacterial SSU rRNA
Rfam family: Bacterial small subunit ribosomal RNA
Source: RNAcentral
AGCUAUACAUGCAGUCGAGCGCGGGAAGCGAGUGGAUCCCUUCGGGGUGAAGCUCGUGGAACGAGCGGCGGACGGGUGAGUAACACGUGGGCAACCUGCCUGUAAGAUCGGAAUAACCCCGGGAAACCGGGGCUAAUGCCGGGUAAUACUUUCUUUCGCAUGAAGGAAAGUUGAAAGAUGGCUUCUCGCUAUCACUUACAGAUGGGCCCGCGGCGCAUUAGCUAGUUGGUGAGGUAACGGCUCACCAAGGCGACGAUGCGUAGCCGACCUGAGAGGGUGAUCGGCCACACUGGGACUGAGACACGGCCCAGACUCCUACGGGAGGCAGCAGUAGGGAAUCUUCCGCAAUGGACGAAAGUCUGACGGAGCAACGCCGCGUGAACGAUGAAGGUCUUCGGAUCGUAAAGUUCUGUUGUUAGGGAAGAACAAGUACCGUGCGAAUAGAGCGGUACCUUGACGGUACCUAACGAGGAAGCCCCGGCUAACUACGUGCCAGCAGCCGCGGUAAUACGUAGGGGGCAAGCGUUGUCCGGAAUUAUUGGGCGUAAAGCGCGCGCAGGCGGUUCCUUAAGUCUGAUGUGAAAGCCCACGGCUCAACCGUGGAGGGUCAUUGGAAACUGGGGAACUUGAGGACAGAAGAGGAGAGUGGA